GAAAUGCGAUAAGUAAUGUGAAUUGCAGAAUUCCAUGAAUCAUCGAAUCUAUGAACGCACAUUGCGCCCUCUGGCAUUCCGGGGGGCAUGCCUGUCCGAGCGUCAUUACGCACCCUCAAGCCCGGCUUGUGUGAUGGGCCCCGGCGUCUCGUUCGCGAGACGGGCCCGAAAGGCAGCGGCGGCGUCGACCCGAUGAGCCCGAGCGUAUGGGGACUUCUGUCACACGUUCGCGGUGCGGACCGGCGCCUGCUUGACUUUUCUGAUUAUCCAGGUUGACCUCGGAUCAGGUAGGGAUACCCGCUGAACUUAAGC
RNAcentral lists this unclassified non-coding RNA (312 nucleotides) under plant metagenome. RNAcentral describes it as "partial contains 5.8S ribosomal RNA, internal transcribed spacer 2, and large subunit ribosomal RNA". The stretch from base 1 to 105 matches the Rfam family "5.8S ribosomal RNA", at positions 50 to 154 of the family's 154-position model. The record is from RNAcentral.